AAAAUAAGCAUCACUUAUCUCUCUGGACGGACUAAUGUUUUCAAGAUAAGAUGGUAUAAACUUAAUUUAUGCAAAGUUUAAUACAGGUUUGCUAUAUGUGAGAUGGAUGCUUAUCUUUUUGUGGCAAUUGUCUCACUCCAAGUAUGCAAGGCCAAAGCGACAAUGUGGUGAUGGCGAUGACACGUGAUAAUAAUGGUGAUUGAUGGUGGUAGCAACACGUAAUGUAUGUUAUUGAUGUACAAUGACGUUAAUGUUGUAAGUUAGUUAAUUAAAGGUACU
This is a long non-coding RNA of Erigeron canadensis, 279 nucleotides long. RefSeq lists it as uncharacterized. The record is from RefSeq and is a predicted model, not a curated record. NCBI's taxonomy places the organism in Eukaryota, Viridiplantae, Streptophyta, Magnoliopsida, Asterales, Asteraceae. The transcript has 3 exons.